Synchiropus splendidus (mandarinfish) is the source of this 75-nucleotide small nucleolar RNA. RefSeq annotates it as small nucleolar RNA SNORD26. Lineage: Eukaryota; Metazoa; Chordata; Actinopteri; Syngnathiformes; Callionymidae. The record is from RefSeq and is a predicted model, not a curated record. The transcript has a single exon.
CUACAGUGAUGAAUCUUUGAACUCUCUCUUACUGAAUCAGCGUUGAAGAAACCUCUUUACCAGAUUCUGAGUAGC